RNAcentral lists this ribosomal RNA (253 nucleotides) under uncultured bacterium. RNAcentral's name for it is "partial 16S ribosomal RNA". It matches the Rfam family "Bacterial small subunit ribosomal RNA", at positions 524 to 776 of the family's 1533-position model. The record is from RNAcentral.
UACAGAGGUCUCAAGCGUUGUUCGGAUUCAUUGGGCGUAAAGGGUGCGUAGGUGGCGGGGUAAGUCUGGUGUGAGAUCUCGGGGCUCAACCCCGAAACUGCACUGGAUACUGCCUUGCUCGAGUACUGGAGAGGAGAUUGGAAUUUACGGUGUAGCAGUGAAAUGCGUAGAUAUCGUAAGGAAGACCAGUGGCGAAGGCGAAUCUCUGGACAGUUACUGACACUGAGGCACGAAGGCCAGGGGAGCAAACGGG